Peromyscus eremicus (cactus mouse) is the source of this 1156-nucleotide long non-coding RNA. RefSeq lists it as uncharacterized. NCBI's taxonomy places the organism in Eukaryota, Metazoa, Chordata, Mammalia, Rodentia, Cricetidae. The transcript is spliced from 3 exons. The record is from RefSeq and is a predicted model, not a curated record.
GCGGCCCUGAGAGAGGCCAUUCGCCGCGCCGCCGGAAGCUCGCUCGCCACGACCGGAAGUUUUUCACCACCCAAUUAAGGGUUGGUGGGGGCACGCCCAGAAGCUUGGCUCUGAUUGGUUCUCUCUCUUGUUCGUCCACUUCCGGGCUUCGAGAAGUGGCAGGUCAGAGUGGGCCUGGGAUGCUAAGUUCUGGCACCCAUGCACCGGGUCAGCAGAGUUCUGAAGCGCCCACCCAGGUGACAUGUGACUGAGUGAGGUCCCUAAAAGACCACCAGGGGCGCCCCCAACUAAUGGGAAGCCAACAGCCAACGUUAGCCGGGGUCCCACUGGGUGCUUUGGGUUUGGCCGGUUCUGUCCAUCACACACAUAAAACCAGAAAUUGAAUCUUUGAGCUGUUUUAUUCAGAGAGCCAACAAUCUAAGACAGUAGUUUAACAUCCUAAAGGUGUGUCUUUCACCUCAUCUUUAGCCAGCAGACUAUGUAGGCUAUAGCACCUCAGCCCUGGCCAGAGCAUCUGUGCUCUUGCUGCUGCCACCAACACGGACCUCACUGGCUUUGCUCUGGCCUGGAAAUAAUAUACUCCCGCUCCCACAUCUGUCAGGCACUGAAGUGUGAACCAGAGGAUAUACAGGUGCUGACUGCAUGCACUUGGCUGGCACACAGAUAACCUUGCUAGAUACUAGGAAUGAAUCCACGAGUGUGAGACAGAAGUACACAGCCCAACCAGCCCUGUAUCCCCUGCCCAGCUCAGUGUUUCACCUGAUUUGGCAAUCAACACAAAGAUAUUCAGAGUGGUCUUGGUCUUGCCAGGCUGUGCAGUAUGUCAGGAGCCACAGCCUGUACACAUGAAUGGCUGGUGUGCACAAGCCAACCAUGGCCUUAGGUUUGUGGCCCAUAGUGGGUCCACUACUGUCCAGUUUGGGCAUCCCACCUAAUGCACAGGAAUCAGGUCAAGCCCCUCCCAGCACCAAGGGCAGCCAGGGAAGCAGGCUGAUACUUGAGGCAGCCCAAUGCCACACUGAGCUGUAGUAGAGUCGAGCAGGGGCUACCCUGGACCCCCAGCUGACUCUCUGACAUACACUGCCCACUUGGGGCACACAAAUACAAAUAAAAAGACUUCUUUGUCCUCGCUGGAUUUAAGGCUUGUAUUUCCUGA